UUCCUGCUUCUCCUUUAAAAGAUGUACCCCUGUUUGCACCUGCAUGUUAUUGAUGACAAACAACCACGCACAAUACAGUGAUCCACAAAUAUGGUAUAAAUGCAACCUUAGAAUCCACUUAUAAAUUAUGCUCUGAUCACCCACACAAAGAAAAGUAAAACUCUUUAUGAAACCUUGGUUUCAUGAAAAAUAUGAACAUUUAUUAACACGUCAUCA
This 216-nucleotide unclassified non-coding RNA is filed under the name Hevea brasiliensis (rubber tree). The record is from RNAcentral. Lineage: Eukaryota; Viridiplantae; Streptophyta; Magnoliopsida; Malpighiales; Euphorbiaceae.